Non-coding RNA from Flammula alnicola, 72 nucleotides. NCBI's taxonomy places the organism in Eukaryota, Fungi, Basidiomycota, Agaricomycetes, Agaricales, Strophariaceae. The record is from the annotation of a GenBank genome assembly.
UCUUUGCUAGUAUAUCGGUUAGUACACGCGCCUGUCACGCGCGUAAGCUGGGUUCGACUCCCAGGCAGGGAG